UACGUAGGGGGCGAGCGUUGUCCGGAUUUAUUGGGCGUAAAGGGCGCGUAGGCGGCGCGGAGCAUCCGGCGUGAAAUCUCCCCGCUCAACGGGGAGGGGUCGGCGGAGAUGGCCGUGCUAGAGGACGGGAGAGGCAGCGGGAAGUCCCGAAGUAGUGGUGAAAUGCGUAGAGAUCGGGAGGAACACCAGAGGCGAAGGCGCGCUGCUGGGCCGGACCUGACGCUGAGGCGCGACAGCCAGGGGAGCGAACGG
This 252-nucleotide ribosomal RNA is filed under the name uncultured bacterium. Its description in RNAcentral is "partial 16S ribosomal RNA". It matches the Rfam family "Bacterial small subunit ribosomal RNA", at positions 524 to 775 of the family's 1533-position model. The record is from RNAcentral.